Molecule: ribosomal RNA, 301 nt
Filed under: uncultured bacterium
Lineage: Bacteria
Description: partial 16S ribosomal RNA
Rfam family: Bacterial small subunit ribosomal RNA
Source: RNAcentral
CAGUCGCCGCGGUAAUACGUAGGGUGCGAGCGUUAAUCGGAAUUACUGGGCGUAAAGCGUGCGCAGGCGGUUAUAUAAGACAGAUGUGAAAUCCCCGGGCUCAACCUGGGACCUGCAUUUGUGACUGUAUAGCUAGAGUACUGUAGAGGGGGAUGGAAUUCCGCGUGUAGCAGUGAAAUGCGUAGAUAUGCGGAGGAACACCGAUGGCGAAGGCAAUCCCAUGGACCUGUACUGACGCUCAUGCACGAAAGCGUGGGGAGCAAACAGGAUUAGAUACCCCGGUAGUCCCUGUCUCUUAUAC